UGGGGAAGUAUUGCACAAUGGGCGAAAGACCUGAUGCAGCGACGCCGCGUGAGUGAAGAAGUAUUUCGGUAUGUAAAGCUCUAUCAGCAGGGAAGAAAAUGACGGUACCUGACUAAGAAGCCCCGGCUAACUACGUGCCAGCAGCCGCGGUAAUACGUAGGGGGCAAGCGUUAUCCGGAUUUACUGGGUGUAAAGGGUGCGUAGGCGGCAAAGCAAGUCAGAUGUGAAAUGUAUGGGCUCAACCCAUGAACUGCAUUUGAAACUGCAUUGCUUGAGUGAAGUAGAGGCAGGCGGAAUUCCCUGUGUAGCGGUGAAAUGCGUAGA
Molecule: ribosomal RNA, 324 nt
Filed under: uncultured Lachnospiraceae bacterium
Lineage: Bacteria; Bacillati; Bacillota; Clostridia; Lachnospirales; Lachnospiraceae
Description: bacterial SSU rRNA
Rfam family: Bacterial small subunit ribosomal RNA
Source: RNAcentral